CGGGAAACUGGGGAUAAUACCCUAUAGACUAUGGAUGCUGGAAUGCUCUGUAGCCGAAAGGUCCGCCGCUGUAGGAUGGGUCUGCGGCCGAUUAGGUUGUUGUUGGGGUAACGGCCCAACAAGCCUGUAAUCGGUACGGGGUGUGGGAGCAAGAGCCCGGAGAUGGAUUCUGGGACACGGAUCCAGGCCCUAAGGGGCCGCAGAAGGCGCGAAAACUUUCAAAUGCGGGAAACCGUGAUAAGGGAACUCUGAGUGCCCGUAAAAUCGGGCUGUCCAUCAGUUUAAAUAACUGGUGAAGAAAGGGCCGGGCAAGACCGGUGCCAGCCGCCGCGGUAACA
Molecule: ribosomal RNA, 338 nt
Filed under: uncultured archaeon
Lineage: Archaea
Description: partial 16S ribosomal RNA
Rfam family: Archaeal small subunit ribosomal RNA
Source: RNAcentral